RNAcentral lists this ribosomal RNA (760 nucleotides) under uncultured bacterium. RNAcentral describes it as "bacterial SSU rRNA". It matches the Rfam family "Bacterial small subunit ribosomal RNA", at positions 28 to 776 of the family's 1533-position model. The record is from RNAcentral.
AUUGAACGCUGGCGGCAGGCUUAACACAUGCAAGUCGAACGGUAACAUAAGAAAAGCUUGCUUUUUUUGAUGACGAGUGGCGGACGGGUGAGUAAUGCUUGGGAAUCUGCCUUAUGGAGGGGGAUAACUACGGGAAACUGUAGCUAAUACCGCAUAAUAUCUACGGAUUAAAGUGUGGGAUCUUCGGACCACAUACCAUAAGAUGAGCCCAAGUGAGAUUAGGUAGUUGGUGAGGUAAAGGCUCACCAAGCUGACGAUCUCUAGCUGGUUUGAGAGGAUGACCAGCCACACUGGGACUGAGACACGGCCCAGACUCCUACGGGAGGCAGCAGUGGGGAAUAUUGCACAAUGGGCGCAAGCCUGAUGCAGCCAUGCCGCGUGAAUGAAGAAGGCUUUCGGGUUGUAAAGUUCUUUCAUUAGUGAGAAAGGUAUAAAUGUUAAUAGCAUUUGUAAUUGAUGUUAGCUAAAGAAGAAGCACCGGCUAACUCCGUGCCAGCAGCCGCGGUAAUACGGAGGGUGCGAGCGUUAAUCGGAAUAACUGGGCGUAAAGGGCAUGCAGGCGGUUACUUAAGUCAGAUGUGAAAGCCCCGAGCUUAACUUGGGAAUUGCAUUUGAAACUGGGUGACUAGAGUCCUCUAGGGAGGGGUAGAAUUCCACGUGUAGCGGUGAAAUGCGUAGAGAUGUGGAGGAAUACCGAAGGCGAAGCAGCCCCUUGGAGAGAGACUGACGCUCAUAUGCGAAAGCGUGGGUAGCAAACAGG